GGGGGGGGGUGCAAGCGUUAUUCGGAAUUAUUGGGCGUAAAGGGCGCGCAGGGCGGUCUCUUAAGUCAGAUGUGAAAGCCCGGGGCUCAACUCCGGAAGUGCAUUUGAAACUAAGGGACUUGAGUAUGGGAGAGGGAAGUGGAAUUCCUGGUGUAGAGGUGAAAUUCGUAGAUAUCAGGAGGAACACCGGUGGCGAAGGCGACUUCCUGGACCAAUACUGACGCUGAGGCGCGAAGGCGUGGGGAGCAAACAGGAUUAGAUACCCUGGUAGUCCACGCAGUAAACGGUGAACACUAGGUGUAGCGGGUAUUUACCCCUGCUGUGCCGCAGCUAACGCAUUAAGUGUUCCGCCUGGGGAGUACGGUCGCAAGAUUA
Molecule: ribosomal RNA, 375 nt
Filed under: uncultured organism
Description: partial 16S ribosomal RNA
Rfam family: Bacterial small subunit ribosomal RNA
Source: RNAcentral